Long non-coding RNA from Talpa occidentalis (Iberian mole), 991 nucleotides. RefSeq lists it as uncharacterized. The record is from RefSeq and is a predicted model, not a curated record. NCBI's taxonomy places the organism in Eukaryota, Metazoa, Chordata, Mammalia, Eulipotyphla, Talpidae. The transcript is spliced from 5 exons.
GUGACUGGAGGAGGAGCAGGAGGGGCACAUGGUCAGGAUGGAUUCACUACUUACUCUUCUGAAGAACACGUAAUUAUUGCUAAGUUAACUGAUUUGGAACAUAGAAAAUUAAACACCACCCAGUUGACUUUAUUAUUCAAAUCAACUCCAAGAGGCAAAACCAUAAGGAAGCUAAAGAUCAGAGAAGAGUAACUUGUCUAACAUGGCCCAGUCACAAAAUGACAGACCGCACAAAGAACUAGCCAGGCUCCCAGGACUCACCAAGAAUAAGGACAUGCAAAGGGAAGUUCUCCUGAUGCGAAAGUCCUCAACCCUAGUUGCUUGCUGAAGACAUGAAUUACAACUAAACACUAUGCCAUUGUGGAAAAAUCUUUUUGGAGGGAAGUUUGGAAACUAUUUUAAAUAUAUAAACCACAAUAAUCUUAAAGAAUGAGAGAAACUCUGGACCCCACAAUCCUCAAACCACCAUGUCUUCGGUUGUUGGGGUCUUUUCUCACAUUGUUGUAACCAACUAUCUGGGUUAACACACACUAAAGAGCAAUGCUGUUAGAGGAGCAGAGAAACUUUGCAAAACUCUGCUUUCUGAAAUAAAAGCAAGGCACUCUCCAUUAACAGCUGGUGGAUUCCUGAUUUCUGCCCACAGAAGCAUGUUCAGACUGAGAGCUCUCCCACCAGGGAAGAAUCACCUGCUUUAUUUUUGCUGUUCUCUUCUGAGCUAGUUUGGUCAUCCACUCUGUAUACAUUUGUGUGUCAACGUUAAGACCAAGGGAAAAAAAAAAAGAGUUGGUUGAUGACUUGGGAGGCUCUCAUAGUUGCAAUAACUAUGGAAGACAGAAGAACACUGGCUAUACUUUUUAUUUUCAGCACUAGUGUCUGGAUCUAUAACUAAAACCUUUUCUCACUCCUUCCUACCAAUUGCUAUCACGGCUAAAAUGUCUUUUCCUUAAAUCUGAUGGGUGUAAAAAGAAAAAGGAACAGCAUUUCUCUAGAG